RNAcentral lists this transfer RNA (74 nucleotides) under Camelus bactrianus (Bactrian camel). It matches the Rfam family "tRNA". From Rfam's summary of the family: Transfer RNA (tRNA) molecules are approximately 80 nucleotides in length. Their secondary structure includes four short double-helical elements and three loops (D, anti-codon, and T loops). Lineage: Eukaryota; Metazoa; Chordata; Mammalia; Artiodactyla; Camelidae. The record is from Rfam by way of RNAcentral. RNAcentral also lists the same sequence under 2 other names.
GAGGGUAUAGCUCAAUGGUAUAGAGUGCCUGUUUACCAUGCAUGACAUCCUGGGUUCAAUCCCCAGUACCUCCA